This 114-nucleotide non-coding RNA is filed under the name Rhodococcus sp. (in: high G+C Gram-positive bacteria). Its description in RNAcentral is "Rhodococcus sp. SAM-IV sequence". It matches the Rfam family "SAM (S-adenosyl methionine) riboswitch aptamer". From Rfam's summary of the family: SAM-IV is a mRNA element that regulates gene expression via direct sensing of S-adenosylmethionine (SAM or AdoMet). SAM-IV riboswitches share conserved nucleotide positions with the previously described SAM-I riboswitches sequence analysis and molecular recognition experiments suggest that SAM-I and SAM-IV riboswitches share similar ligand binding sites, but have different scaffolds. Lineage: Bacteria; Bacillati; Actinomycetota; Actinomycetes; Mycobacteriales; Nocardiaceae. The record is from RNAcentral.
GGUCAUGAGUAUCAGCAGAUAGCCCCGGCUUGCUGAUCGGCAACCCUCGCGGAGCGGUGGGGUGCCCCGGGUGAGGACCGGGCUGUAUCCAUGCGGAUACGGCAAGCGCCCCUA